RNAcentral lists this ribosomal RNA (253 nucleotides) under uncultured bacterium. Its description in RNAcentral is "partial 16S ribosomal RNA". It matches the Rfam family "Bacterial small subunit ribosomal RNA", at positions 524 to 776 of the family's 1533-position model. The record is from RNAcentral.
GACGUAGGGGGCAAGCGUUGUCCGGAAUCAUUGGGCGUAAAGCGCGCGUAGGCGGACUUUUAAGUCGGUGGAGAAAGACCUGGGCUCAACUCAGGGAACGGCAUCGAUACUAUUGGUCUUGAGGUGAUUAGAGGAUGAUGGAAUUCCCGGUGUAGCGGUGAAAUGCGUAGAUAUCGGGAAGAACACCAGUGGCGAAGGCGGCUCUCUGGGACGGUACUGACGCUGAGACGCGAAAGCGUGGGGAGCAAACAGG